Molecule: ribosomal RNA, 471 nt
Filed under: uncultured Synechococcus sp.
Lineage: Bacteria; Bacillati; Cyanobacteriota; Cyanophyceae; Synechococcales; Synechococcaceae
Description: bacterial SSU rRNA
Rfam family: Bacterial small subunit ribosomal RNA
Source: RNAcentral
GCCUGACGGAGCAACGCCGCGUGAGGGAUGAAGGCCUCUGGGCUGUAAACCUCUUUUAUCAAGGAAGAAGAUCUGACGGUACUUGAUGAAUAAGCCACGGCUAAUUCCGUGCCAGCAGCCGCGGUAAUACGGGAGUGGCAAGCGUUAUCCGGAAUUAUUGGGCGUAAAGCGUCCGCAGGCGGCCCUUCAAGUCUGCUGUUAAAAAGUGGAGCUUAACUCCAUCAUGGCAGUGGAAACUGUUGGGCUUGAGUGUGGUAGGGGCAGAGGGAAUUCCCGGUGUAGCGGUGAAAUGCGUAGAUAUCGGGAAGAACACCAGUGGCGAAGGCGCUCUGCUGGGCCAUCACUGACGCUCAUGGACGAAAGCCAGGGGAGCGAAAGGGAUUAGAUACCCCUGUAGUCCUGGCCGUAAACGAUGAACACUAGGUGUCGGGGGAAUCGACCCCCUCGGUGUCGUAGCCAACGCGUUAAGUG